AUGAACGCUAGCGGGAGGCCUAACACAUGCAAGCCGAGCGGUAGAGAUCUUUCGGGAUCUUGAGAGCGGCGUACGGGUGCGGAACACGUGUGCAACCUGCCUUUAUCUGGGAGAUAGCCUUUCGAAAGGAAGAUUAAUACCCCAUAAUAUAUGAUUCGGCAUCGGAUUCUAUUGAAAGCUCCGGCGGAUAGAGAUGGGCACGCGCAAGAUUAGAUAGUUGGUGAGGUAACGGCUCACCAAGUCAGUGAUCUUUAGGGGGCCUGAGAGGGUGAUCCCCCACACUGGUACUGAGACACGGACCAGACUCCUACGGGAGGCAGCAGUGAGGAAUAUUGGACAAUGGGUGAAAGCCUGAUCCAGCCAUCCCGCGUGAAGGACGACGGCCCUAUGGGUUGUAAACUUCUUUUGUAUAGGGAUAAACCUACCCUCGUGAGGGUAGCUGAAGGUACUAUACGAAUAAGCACCGGCUAACUCCGUGCCAGCAGCCGCCGUAA
Molecule: ribosomal RNA, 494 nt
Filed under: uncultured bacterium
Lineage: Bacteria
Description: partial 16S ribosomal RNA
Rfam family: Bacterial small subunit ribosomal RNA
Source: RNAcentral